GAUUAAGUUAUUAAGGGCGCACGGUGGAUGCCUUGGCACUAGAAGCCGAUGAAGGACGUUACUAACGACGAUAUGCUUUGGGGAGCUGUAAGUAAGCUUUGAUCCAGAGAUUUCCGAAUGGGGAAACCCAGCAUGAGUUAUGUCAUGUUAUCGAUAUGUGAAUACAUAGCAUAUCAGAAGGCACACCCGGAGAACUGAAACAUCUUAGUACCCGGAGGAAGAGAAAGAAAAUUCGAUUCCCUUAGUAGCGGCGAGCGAAACGGGAAGAGCCCAAACUAACAAGCUUGCUUGUUGGGGUUGUAGGACACUCUAUACGGAGUUACAAAGGACGACAUUAGACGAAUCAACUGGAAAGAUGAAUCAAAGAAGGUAAUAAUCCUGUAGUCGAAAAUGUUGUCUCUCUUGAGUGGAUCCUGAGUACGACGGAGCACGUGAAAUUCCGUCGGAAUCUGGGAGGACCAUCUCCUAAGGCUAAAUACUCUCUAGUGACCGAUAGUGAACCAGUACCGUGAGGGAAAGGUGAAAAGAACCCCGGAAGGGGAGUGAAAUAGAACCUGAAACCGUGUGCUUACAAGUAGUCAGAGCCCGUUAAUGGGUGAUGGCGUGCCUUUUGUAGAAUGAACCGGCGAGUUACGAUUUGAUGCAAGGUUAAGCAGUAAAUGUGGAGCCGUAGCGAAAGCGAGUCUGAAUAGGGCGUUUAGUAUUUGGUCGUAGACCCGAAACCAGGUGAUCUACCCUUGGUCAGGUUGAAGUUCAGGUAACACUGAAUGGAGGACCGAACCGACUUACGUUGAAAAGUGAGCGGAUGAACUGAGGGUAGCGGAGAAAUUCCAAUCGAACCUGGAGAUAGCUGGUUCUCUCCGAAAUAGCUUUAGGGCUAGCCUCAAGUGAUGAUUAUUGGAGGUAGAGCACUGUUUGGACGAGGGGCCCCUCUCGGGUUACCGAAUUCAGACAAACUCCGAAUGCCAAUUAAUUUAACUUGGGAGUCAGAACAUGGGUGAUAAGGUCCGUGUUCGAAAGGGAAACAGCCCAGACCACCAGCUAAGGUCCCAAAAUAUAUGUUAAGUGGAAAAGGAUGUGGCGUUGCCCAGACAACUAGGAUGUUGGCUUAGAAGCAGCCAUCAUUUAAAGAGUGCGUAAUAGCUCACUAGUCGAGUGACACUGCGCCGAAAAUGUACCGGGGCUAAACAUAUUACCGAAGCUGUGGAUUGUCCUUUGGACAAUGGUAGGAGAGCGUUCUAAGGGCGUUGAAGCAUGAUCGCAAGGACAUGUGGAGCGCUUAGAAGUGAGAAUGCCGGUGUGAGUAGCGAAAGACGGGUGAGAAUCCCGUCCACCGAUUGACUAAGGUUUCCAGAGGAAGGCUCGUCCGCUCUGGGUUAGUCGGGUCCUAAGCUGAGGCCGACAGGCGUAGGCGAUGGAUAACAGGUUGAUAUUCCUGUACCACCUAUAAUCGUUUUAAUCGAUGGGGGGACGCAGUAGGAUAGGCGAAGCGUGCGAUUGGAUUGCACGUCUAAGCAGUAAGGCUGAGUAUUAGGCAAAUCCGGUACUCGUUAAGGCUGAGCUGUGAUGGGGAGAAGACAUUGUGUCUUCGAGUCGUUGAUUUCACACUGCCGAGAAAAGCCUCUAGAUAGAAAAUAGGUGCCCGUACCGCAAACCGACACAGGUAGUCAAGAUGAGAAUUCUAAGGUGAGCGAGCGAACUCUCGUUAAGGAACUCGGCAAAAUGACCCCGUAACUUCGGGAGAAGGGGUGCUCUUUAGGGUUAACGCCCAGAAGAGCCGCAGUGAAUAGGCCCAAGCGACUGUUUAUCAAAAACACAGGUCUCUGCUAAACCGUAAGGUGAUGUAUAGGGGCUGACGCCUGCCCGGUGCUGGAAGGUUAAGAGGAGUGGUUAGCUUCUGCGAAGCUACGAAUCGAAGCCCCAGUAAACGGCGGCCGUAACUAUAACGGUCCUAAGGUAGCGAAAUUCCUUGUCGGGUAAGUUCCGACCCGCACGAAAGGCGUAACGAUUUGGGCACUGUCUCAACGAGAGACUCGGUGAAAUCAUAGUACCUGUGAAGAUGCAGGUUACCCGCGACAGGACGGAAAGACCCCGUGGAGCUUUACUGUAGCCUGAUAUUGAAAUUCGGCACAGCUUGUACAGGAUAGGUAGGAGCCUUUGAAACGUGAGCGCUAGCUUACGUGGAGGCGCUGGUGGGAUACUACCCUAGCUGUGUUGGCUUUCUAACCCGCACCACUUAUCGUGGUGGGAGACAGUGUCAGGCGGGCAGUUUGACUGGGGCGGUCGCCUCCUAAAAGGUAACGGAGGCGCUCAAAGGUUCCCUCAGAAUGGUUGGAAAUCAUUCAUAGAGUGUAAAGGCAUAAGGGAGCUUGACUGCGAGACCUACAAGUCGAGCAGGGUCGAAAGACGGACUUAGUGAUCCGGUGGUUCCGCAUGGAAGGGCCAUCGCUCAACGGAUAAAAGCUACCCCGGGGAUAACAGGCUUAUCUCCCCCAAGAGUUCACAUCGACGGGGAGGUUUGGCACCUCGAUGUCGGCUCAUCGCAUCCUGGGGCUGUAGUCGGUCCCAAGGGUUGGGCUGUUCGCCCAUUAAAGCGGUACGCGAGCUGGGUUCAGAACGUCGUGAGACAGUUCGGUCCCUAUCCGUCGUGGGCGUAGGAAAUUUGAGAGGAGCUGUCCUUAGUACGAGAGGACCGGGAUGGACAUACCUCUGGUGUACCAGUUGUCGUGCCAACGGCAUAGCUGGGUAGCUAUGUGUGGACGGGAUAAGUGCUGAAAGCAUCUAAGCAUGAAGCCCCCCUCAAGAUGAGAUUUCCCAACUUCGGUUAUAAGAUCCCUCAAAGAUGAUGAGGUUAAUAGGUUCGAGGUGGAAGCAUGGUGACAUGUGGAGCUGACGAAUACUAAUCGAUCGAAGACUUAAUCA
This 2922-nucleotide ribosomal RNA is filed under the name Staphylococcus aureus. Its description in RNAcentral is "bacterial LSU rRNA". It matches the Rfam family "Bacterial large subunit ribosomal RNA". Lineage: Bacteria; Bacillati; Bacillota; Bacilli; Caryophanales; Staphylococcaceae. The record is from RNAcentral.